GAUGAACGCUAGCGACAGGCCUAACACAUGCAAGUCGAGGGGCAGCACAUGAGUAGCAAUACGAUGGUGGCGACCGGCGCACGGGUGAGUAACACGUAUGCAACCUGCCUGUAAGAGGGGGAUAACCCGGAGAAAUUCGGACUAAUACCGCAUAAUACCACGAGACUGCAUGGUUUUGUGGUUAAACAUUUAUGGCUUACAGAUGGGCAUGCGUAUGAUUAGAUAGUUGGUAGGGUAACGGCCUGCCAAGUCUACGAUCAUUAGGGGUUCUGAGAGGAAGGUCCCCCACACUGGUACUGAGACACGGACCAGACUCCUACGGGAGGCAGCAGUGAGGAAUAUUGGUCAAUGGGCGAGAGCCUGAACCAGCCAAGUCGCGUGAAGGAAGAAGGUUCUAUGGAUUGUAAACUUCUUUUGCAGGGGAAUAAAGGACGGUACGUGUACUGUUUUGUAUGUACCUUGCGAAUAAGGAUCGGCUAACUCCGUG
RNAcentral lists this ribosomal RNA (487 nucleotides) under uncultured bacterium. RNAcentral describes it as "bacterial SSU rRNA". It matches the Rfam family "Bacterial small subunit ribosomal RNA", at positions 28 to 507 of the family's 1533-position model. The record is from RNAcentral.